UCGAGGGGCAGCAUGGUCUUAGCUUGCUAAGGCCGAUGGCGACCGGCGCACGGGUGAGUAACACGUAUCCAACCUGCCGACAACACUGGGAUAGCCUUUCGAAGAAAGAUUAAUACCGGAUGGUAUAGUUUUCCCGCAUGGGAUGAUUAUUAAAGAAUUUCGGUUAUCGAUGGGGAUGCGUUCCAUUAGGCAGUUGGUGAGGUAACGGCUCACCAAACCUUCGAUGGAUAGGGGUUCUGAGAGGAAGGUCCCCACAUUGGAACUGAGACACGGUCCAAACUCC
RNAcentral lists this ribosomal RNA (283 nucleotides) under uncultured Bacteroides sp. RNAcentral's name for it is "partial 16S ribosomal RNA". It matches the Rfam family "Bacterial small subunit ribosomal RNA", at positions 62 to 339 of the family's 1533-position model. Lineage: Bacteria; Pseudomonadati; Bacteroidota; Bacteroidia; Bacteroidales; Bacteroidaceae. The record is from RNAcentral.